Long non-coding RNA from Mercenaria mercenaria, 552 nucleotides. RefSeq lists it as uncharacterized. The transcript is spliced from 3 exons. The record is from RefSeq and is a predicted model, not a curated record. Lineage: Eukaryota; Metazoa; Mollusca; Bivalvia; Venerida; Veneridae.
UAACAUAUGAAAUGGCCUACUUUAAGAUGGUAAACGAAGUGAAGUGUGUCAUAUCUAGCUUAUAGAGUGGAUUGUGUUUACAACAUACAUAUACAUACAUCAUGUCAUUAAAAUGCUAUAAAUAUGCAGAGAAUGAUUUUAGAGUAACAAAUGAAAUGAAAAAGGACUUUGACAACGAUGGAUAUGUUAUUGUCAGGGGACUUCUUUCAAAUGACGAAGUGAAACACGUUGAACAUGCACUGAACGUUCCAAAAUUCUUGGAACACACAUAUGCAGUAUGUUUCUAAAAACUAAUUGAUAAUGUAAAUUUGAAAAUAACAACAUAGACUUUUCUUUUAAAUAAGCUUCUUCAGCUGACAAAGAUAUUUACAUAUAUACAUAAUUAUAAACAAUACGAGGGUGUUCGAAAACUUUUGCAAAUGACAUGUUUUCUCCGAGAUAUUAAUUAAAAGAUCAUAAUAUUUUGUUUAGUUACCUUCGAAAUAUUUCCCUUUAGCCAGAACACAUCAUUUCAGACUUUUAAUCCAAUGCUUGAAACAAUUUUCACACUCA